ACACCUCAACUCUUGUGGUUUCCCCCACAAUGAGCUUGGACUGUGGAGGAUUUGUUGGCCCUGUGGUCAGCUCCUCUCAAAUGGAUCAGCUUACCAGUGUUUGGUGGCGUCAUGGGUGUGAUAACUAUCUGCGCUCGUGGUUGCCUCCAAGUAACUUCCGGUGACGGGGUUCACUGGAGCUCAUAAACGUCUCUCCCCAGUGAAGACAGCAUUUGAAC
Molecule: unclassified non-coding RNA, 218 nt
Filed under: uncultured Tomentella
Lineage: Eukaryota; Fungi; Basidiomycota; Agaricomycetes; Thelephorales; Thelephoraceae
Description: sequence contains ITS2
Source: RNAcentral